RNAcentral lists this small nuclear RNA (301 nucleotides) under Jaculus jaculus (lesser Egyptian jerboa). RNAcentral describes it as "7SK RNA (ENSJJAG00000004060.1)". It matches the Rfam family "7SK RNA". Rfam says of the family: 7SK was discovered as an abundant small nuclear RNA in the mid-70s but a possible function has only recently been suggested. Two independent studies have found that 7SK RNA binds the CDK9/cyclin T complex (known as elongation factor P-TEFb). P-TEFb activates transcription by phosphorylating the C-terminal domain of RNA polymerase II. Lineage: Eukaryota; Metazoa; Chordata; Mammalia; Rodentia; Dipodidae. The record is from RNAcentral.
GGAUGAUCUGGCUGAAACAUCUGUAACUCCAUUGAUUUCCAGGGUUGUUAUGGCUGAUUUGACUGGCUAGGUGGGUGUGCUCAUAAACUACAGUGCUGGGUCUUAGAGGAUAACCUUUCAGACUAGUGAAGGACCAGUCUGCAUUCAAGCGUACACAAGUACUGGCACUCUCCAGCUAGACCCUCCAAACAAGCUCUGAAGAAGAGAUAAGGAAAAACUAUGAAAAUAAAAUCCCAUACGCAGAAAGCAAGACUUAUUGGGAAGAUUUAGUUCAAUGUCUUGUCCACUAAGUGUCUUUACU